RNAcentral lists this ribosomal RNA (770 nucleotides) under uncultured bacterium. RNAcentral's name for it is "bacterial SSU rRNA". It matches the Rfam family "Bacterial small subunit ribosomal RNA", at positions 59 to 827 of the family's 1533-position model. The record is from RNAcentral.
CAGUCGAACGAAGCACUGAAAGCAGAUUACUUCGGUAGGAAGCUAUCUUUGACUGUGUGGCGGACGGGUGAGUAACGCGUGGGUAACCUGCCUCAUACAGGGGGAUAACAGUUAGAAAUGACUGCUAAUACCGCAUAAGCGCACGGGACUGCAUGGUCCAGUGUGAAAAACUCCGGUGGUAUGAGAUGGACCCGCGUCUGAUUAGCUAGUUGGUGGGGUAAGGGCUCACCAAGGCGACGAUCAGUAGCCGGCCUGAGAGGGUGACCGGCCACAUUGGGACUGAGACACGGCCCAAACUCCUACGGGAGGCAGCAGUGGGGAAUAUUGCACAAUGGGGGAAACCCUGAUGCAGCGACGCCGCGUGAAGGAAGAAGUAUUUCGGUAUGUAAACUUCUAUCAGCAGGGAAGAAAAUGACGGUACCUGACUAAGAAGCCCCGGCUAACUACGUGCCAGCAGCCGCGGUAAUACGUAGGGGGCAAGCGUUAUCCGGAUUUACUGGGUGUAAAGGGAGCGUAGACGGCUGUGCAAGUCUGGAGUGAAAGGCGGGGGCCCAACCCCCGGACUGCUCUGGAAACUGUAUGGCUGGAGUGCAGGAGAGGUAAGCGGAAUUCCUAGUGUAGCGGUGAAAUGCGUAGAUAUUAGGAGGAACACCAGUGGCGAAGGCGGCUUACUGGACUGUAACUGACGUUGAGGCUCGAAAGCGUGGGGAGCAAACAGGAUUAGAUACCCUGGUAGUCCACGCCGUAAACGAUGAUUACUAGGUGUCGGU